Long non-coding RNA from Haliotis rubra (blacklip abalone), 168 nucleotides. RefSeq lists it as uncharacterized. NCBI's taxonomy places the organism in Eukaryota, Metazoa, Mollusca, Gastropoda, Lepetellida, Haliotidae. The record is from RefSeq and is a predicted model, not a curated record. The transcript has 3 exons.
UGUUCCAGUACAUCUUCUCCCUGCUGAACGGACUGCAGGGGAUGCUGGUUCUCAUCUUCCACUGCUUACUCAAUGAAGACGUGAUGACAUCGUGGAAGAAGAAAAUUGGUCUCCGCCAAAGUAAAGUCCACACAUCGGAAGUGAAGGUCACUACACCGACACAAGAUG